RNAcentral lists this transfer RNA (77 nucleotides) under Candidatus Woesebacteria bacterium. RNAcentral's name for it is "tRNA-Val". It matches the Rfam family "tRNA". Rfam says of the family: Transfer RNA (tRNA) molecules are approximately 80 nucleotides in length. Their secondary structure includes four short double-helical elements and three loops (D, anti-codon, and T loops). Further hydrogen bonds mediate the characteristic L-shaped molecular structure. tRNAs have two regions of fundamental functional importance: the anti-codon, which is responsible for specific mRNA codon recognition, and the 3' end, to which the tRNAs corresponding amino acid is attached (by aminoacyl-tRNA synthetases). tRNAs cope with the degeneracy of the genetic code in two manners: having more than one tRNA (with a specific anti-codon) for a particular amino acid; and 'wobble' base-pairing, i.e. permitting non-standard base-pairing at the 3rd anti-codon position. Lineage: Bacteria; Candidatus Woeseibacteriota. The record is from RNAcentral.
GAACUCAUAGCUCAGUUGGUUAGAGCGCCACAUUGACAUUGUGGAGGUCGGUGGUUCGAGUCCACCUGAGUUCACCA